Molecule: long non-coding RNA, 3571 nt
Organism: Mustela lutreola (European mink)
Lineage: Eukaryota; Metazoa; Chordata; Mammalia; Carnivora; Mustelidae
Exons: 3
Source: RefSeq, a predicted model, not a curated record
AGUUUCUCCCAUGACGAGUGGGGGGGGUGGUGGGCAUGGAUUUUAUUUCAGGCCAAAGGGCAGAGGGCGGGGAGCCCUUCCCUCUCCGGGCAGCACACGAGCGUAUCAGCCGUCAGAUUUUUCAUCCUAACAGAGGGGCAGGCGCAGGGGCCGGAAGACCUGUGGAGGGAGACCAGGGCGGAAGAGAAGAUGCCGGGCCUGAACCACAGAGGAGAAGGGCGCCCGUUGUUCAACUCCCAGUAAAGACACUCCUCCCUUCUUCUCAAGCUCUCUUUACUGGCCCUGUGUGUACCCCACCAGGAUGCAAAUCAUGGCCACACCUGGGCCAGUGCCCAGCUCUGGGAUGGCUGCAUCCUCGGAUGUGCGGGUCCAGAGAUCGAUCUCUGAGUUCACAGUGACCUCAGGCAGAGGUGGACCUGAUCCUGCCCCGGCCUGAAGCAGAAAAGGGGGACCACGCUCUCUGCUCACCACGUGGUCACAGGAAGGGGCUGAGCGCGCUGGGACAGCGACACAGGACAGCUCAUCCCCGGUGUCCUGGUGCAACAAUGGGGCGCUGUGGCCGCCGAAGGGUUAACCCCAGGUACUGUCGUUAAAGAAUCCAAUCUCAGACCCCCAGGUUUUGGAGGUAUUUCUCUGCGGAACAGAUCAGAUCCGAUCAGCAGACUGCCUUUUGCUGUUUCCUAGAGCUCAGUGGGGUUGGGUCGCCAUCAGGCCCCUGAACGCGGAGCUGAAAGGGACAGAGCCUUGGCAGGUUCCAACUGUGGUCCCCCAUCCCUGGGCCUGGCCCCAGAAGCUCACCUGUGCAGUCUUCUCUGGGACCAGCACAGGAAGACGGUGAGGACCGCCACCGUGACCACCAGCCGUGCUCCCACAGCCCCCACACUCCCGGACACCAGGCUCUUGCUGGUACUCAAGGCACAAGUCUCUCCCCAGUACCAGUGCGUGCCUGAGGCCGGGCAUCUGGGGACACACAUGAGAGCAAGCCAGUCCACUAGCGUCCCUUAUACCCAAAAGUCUCCCAAAAGAAAAAAAUGAAUGCCAAAGCAUAGGAAACUGGCUCUCCCUUCCAGGGCAGGCACCAGUUAGGAGGGACCCAGGCAGGGAGGCUCCCCAGCACUUAAGGGGCAGCGAGGGGUGGGGGUCCCCUUACUACAGAGCAGGCUUCAGAGUCAGCGUUGGAUGCCUCGUCCCAGACCCUCGAUGUCCACCCAUCUAAGCUCUGGCUAGCACCUCCUGAACUUCGUGCCCAGCUAUAGCUAGAGGUGCUAUGCCCUAGCACUGUGCUAGGGUAUCGAGAGGAAAAGGAAGCAGAGACAGAUCUACAGAUACAGAUCUGGAAACCGGGGAACUAGAACUGUCUCGGGAAGCGGCUCGCUCAGUCCUAGGAUGCCCACGUCUGUAAGCUGCACGUGCUUAUCGCGGUGGGGGCGGAGGGGUGAAGGGACGGCCAGGGGGGAGAAAGAGGGACAGUGGGGGAGGAAGCCUGACCCCCUCUGCCUCCCCCUCCUCACCCCUGCUCCACGACUGCGGUGGAGAGUGCCGCCCUACCACCGGAGAGGGUGGGGGCCUCCGAGGGGCUGGACACUCACAGGCAGCGGGGGCCACGCGGUGGCAGCUGGCAUUCACCCUCAUGACAGGUCCGUCGCACCUUCGUCCCUGCGGUGGCUCAGACCAGCUUCCCGUCCAGUUCGUCCACAUAGUAGAACUGGGCAUAAUCUCCUUCUGAGAGCCCUGCUCUGGGUUGUGGGGGAAGGGUGGGGAGCAAGCAUCGGGCUGGUUGAAGUGCCCCCAGCCCCCAUGCGACGCCCACACUCUGCCCCCCCAACGCCCAGCACUCCUCGGAGCCGCUUACCCUGCAGAUCAAAGCCCUGCCCUGUCUUGCUCAGGAUGGUGGUGGCCUCCUCGUCAUGGCACAGAGGUGACACCGAGCAUGGUAGAAAACACGAAACAGACACUGGCCUCUGCCCCGCCAGGGCUCGGCCCAUCCCUAGAUGCGGCUGGGUCUGUAAGCAGGCUUGGACCCGGGCUCUAGGGGAUCACUUGAGGCCGAGACUGGGAACAGCUGCUGCGCCCGCUGCAGGCUGGAGAAGGCACCCAGGCCUGGCUUCCGGAUCCCUACAGGGAGGCCUCUGGAGUUCCAGAAAAGGGGAGAGAUGGAGGGCAGGGAGAGGCUGAGACCUCCCUCUGGGACCCCUCCCAUCCUUUCCCCGCCACCAUCAAGGGGUCCUGGGGCGGGCCCGCCUCUGCCCGCUUCAGAAUCACCAGAGAGCCUUUUGGUCUCAUUCAUAAUCUUUUUUUUUUUUUUCUUAAGAUUUGAUUUAUUUAUUUGACAGACAGAAAUCACGAGUAGGCAGUGAGAGAGGAGGAAGCAGGCUCCCUGCUGAGCAGAGAGCCCGAUGCGGGGCUCGAUCCCAGGACCCUGGGAUCAUGACCUGAGCCGAAGGCAGCGGCUUAACCCACUGAGCCACCCAGGCGCCCUCAUUCAUAAUCUUGACCUUUAUGACUUUAGUGAGGCUAGAACGAGGACCCAGUGAUGCAUCAGUCACCCUGGGUCACCCACCCUCCCAGAAAGUGGGGCCCACAAAGCAAGAGGGGUGUGACCCGGAGCUGUGUGACCCAGAGGCAGGACAGACUCGAAACUCUUCCCUCCACCAGUUAACAUCCUAGAGGGAAGCUGCAGGGUCAAAUGAUCCGAACGUUCCAAAAUACCAGUGAUUGCAGUAAAUGCCACUGGGGGAAGUUCAUUUAUAAAAAUGGAAGUCUUCUGGGUGAAGACGUGGCAAGACUGAACCCUUGGGCGCUGUGGGAAUGGCAAAGGGCAGAGCCACCGUGGAAGACAGUACGCAGCUCCCCCCAAAAUUAAAGAUAGAAUUACCCUAUGACCCAGCAAUUCCACCUGUUGGAAUCCACCCAAAAGGACAGACAGCAGGGAUCUGGAGACAUCGCUGUACACCCAUGUUCCUUCAUGAUGCUUCGAGACCGCUAAAACGCGGAAGCAAAUGAUGUGAGUGUCCAUGGAUGGAUGAAUGGAUGCACCAAAUGUGGUACACGGUACAGUGCAACGCUAUUCCGUCUUACAAAAGCAGCAAAUUUUGACAUGUGCUACGAUGUGGAUGAACCUUGAGGACACCGUGCUAAGUGAAAUAAGCCAGUCACAAACGGACAAAUACUGUAUUGAGUAUUUACAUGAGUCCAAAUACACAGCGCACAGAGACACAAUGUGGAAUGGGAGUUGUCCAGGUGGGUUGAGGGGGGGGGACUUGAGAGCUAUUGUCUAAAGGGUACAGAGCUUCGGUUUGGGAAGAUGAGAAGGUUCUGGAGAUGGACUGUGACGGUGUGAUUGCAGAACAGUGGGAAUGUACUUAAUGCUACAGAACUGUACACUUAAAAUGAUUCAUCCAAUGGUUAAUGGCAAAUGUUACAGGUAUUUUACCACAAUAAAAAAUAUUUUAGGGGCGCCUGGGUGGCUCAGUGGGUUAAGCGUCUGCCUUGGGCUCAGGUCAUGGUCUUGGGGUCCUGGGAUCGAGUCCCUCAUCAGGCUCUCUGCUCAGCAGGAAGCCUGCUUCCCCCU